This is a microRNA precursor of Oryza sativa Indica Group (long-grained rice), 204 nucleotides long. It matches the Rfam family "MIR812 microRNA precursor family". NCBI's taxonomy places the organism in Eukaryota, Viridiplantae, Streptophyta, Magnoliopsida, Poales, Poaceae. The record is from Rfam.
AAAAAGGGUAAACCUGGACUUCCGCUCUAACAUUUGACUAUCCGUCUUAUAUAAUUUUUUUUAUAAUUAGUAUUUUCAUCGUUGUUAGAUGAUAAAAUAUGAUUAAUACUUUAUGCGCGACUUAUCUUUUUAAUCUUAUUCAUAAUUUUUUCAAAUAAGACGGACGGUCAAACGUUGGACACGGAAACCACGGUUUGUCUUUUU